RNAcentral lists this ribosomal RNA (468 nucleotides) under uncultured bacterium. RNAcentral's name for it is "partial 16S ribosomal RNA". It matches the Rfam family "Bacterial small subunit ribosomal RNA", at positions 28 to 507 of the family's 1533-position model. The record is from RNAcentral.
GACGAACGCUGGCGGCGGGCUUAACACAUGCAAGUCGAACGGAAAGGCCCUGCUUGUGUGUGGUGCUCGAGUGGCGAACGGGUGAGUAACACGUGAGUAACCUGCCCUUGACGUUGGGAUAACUUCAGGAAACUGGGGCUAAUACCGGAUAGGAGCUCCUGCUGCAUGGUGGGGGUUGGAAAGUUUCGGCGGUUGGGGAUGGACGCGGGGCUUAUCAGCUUGUUGGUGGGGUAGUGGCUUACCAAGGCUUUGACGGGUAGCCGGCCUGAGAGGGUGACCAGGCACAUUGGGACUGAGAUACGGACCAGAGUCCUACGGGAGGCAGUAGUGGGGAAUAUUGCACAAUGGGCGGGAGCCUGAUGCAGCAACGCUGCGUGCGGGAUGACGGUCUUCGGGUUGUAAACCGCUUUAGGCUGUGACGAAGCGGGAGUGACGGUAAUGGGUAAAGAAGCACCGGCUAACUACGUG